Molecule: ribosomal RNA, 301 nt
Filed under: uncultured bacterium
Lineage: Bacteria
Description: partial 16S ribosomal RNA
Rfam family: Bacterial small subunit ribosomal RNA
Source: RNAcentral
CAGUCGCCACGGUAAUACGUAGGGUGCAAGCGUUAAUCGGAAUUACUGGGCGUAAAGCGUGCGCAGGCGGUUAUAUAAGACAGAUGUGAAAUCCCCGGGCUCAACCUGGGAACUGCAUUUGUGACUGUAUAGCUAGAGUACGGCAGAGGGGGAUGGAAUUCCGCGUGUAGCAGUGAAAUGCGUAGAUAUGCGGAGGAACACCGAUGGCGAAGGCAAUCCCCUGGGCCUGUACUGACGCUCAUGCACGAAAGCGUGGGGAGCAAACAGGAUUAGAUACCCCAGUAGUCCCUGUCUCUUAUAU